AUUGAACGCUGGCGGCAUGCCUUACACAUGCAAGUCGAACGGUAACGGGCCUUCGGGUGCCGACGAGUGGCGAACGGGUGAGUAAUGUAUCGGAACGUACCUUUCAGUGGGGGAUAACGUAGCGAAAGUUACGCUAAUACCGCAUAUUCUGUGAGCAGGAAAGCAGGGGAUCGCAAGACCUCGCGCGAUUGGAGCGGCCGAUAUCAGAUUAGCUAGUUGGUGGGGUAAAAGCUCACCAAGGCGACGAUCUGUAGCUGGUCUGAGAGGACGACCAGCCACACUGGAACUGAGACACGGUCCAGACUCCUACGGGAGGCAGCAGUGGGGAAUUUUGGACAAUGGGCGCAAGCCUGAUCCAGCAAUGCCGCGUGCAGGAUGAAGGCCUUCGGGUUGUAAACUGCUUUUGUACGGAACGAAACGGUGAGCUCUAAUAAAGCUUGCUAAUGACGGUACCGUAAGAAUAAGCACCGGCUAACUACGUG
Molecule: ribosomal RNA, 482 nt
Filed under: uncultured bacterium
Lineage: Bacteria
Description: bacterial SSU rRNA
Rfam family: Bacterial small subunit ribosomal RNA
Source: RNAcentral